This is a transfer RNA of Macrophomina phaseolina MS6, 73 nucleotides long. It matches the Rfam family "tRNA". From Rfam's summary of the family: Transfer RNA (tRNA) molecules are approximately 80 nucleotides in length. Their secondary structure includes four short double-helical elements and three loops (D, anti-codon, and T loops). The record is from Rfam. Lineage: Eukaryota; Fungi; Ascomycota; Dothideomycetes; Botryosphaeriales; Botryosphaeriaceae.
AAGGAAUUAGCUCAAUUGGUAGAGCGUCUAUCUUACACAUAGACGGUUAAAGGUUCGAAUCCUUUAUUCCUUA